UUGCUCUUCAACGAGGAAUGCCUAGUAAGCGCAUGUCAUCAGCAUGCGUUGAUUACGUCCCUGCCCUUUGUACACACCGCCCGUCGCUACUACCGAUUGAAUGGCUCAGUGAGGCCUUCGGACUGGCCCAGGGAGGUCGGCAACGACCACCCAGGGCCGGAAAGUUGGUCAAACUUGGUCAUUUAGAGGAAGUAAAAGUCGUAACAAGGUCUCCGUAGGUGAACCUGCGGAGGGAUCAUUAAUCGACGAAGUGCGUAGCUAGACGCCCGACCGGUUUCGACCCCCGGUAACCCCGGGGGGCGGCCGAUCAGCGUGCUCAGUUACCAGGCCACUCACCGGAGCGCGCCCCUGCGGGGGUAGCGUGGGGAGGGGAGAGCUCCCGCUAAGGUUGUAGCCGACCCCGUUUGUACCUGCGCCCGUGAUGGUCGGAUCUUCAUCAAAACCCUUUGUUGUCCGACUCUGUUGCCUCGGGGGCGACCCUGCCCUUCAUUGGGCUCGGGGGACCCCCGGUGGACAUUAACCAAACUCUUGCGUAUCUUUGUCGUCUGAGUGAUUUUAUAAAUCAAAUUAAAACUUUCAACAACGGAUCUCUUGGUUCUGGCAUCGAUGAAGAACGCAGCGAAAUGCGAUAAGUAAUGUGAAUUGCAGAAUUCAGUGAAUCAUCGAAUCUUUGAACGCACAUUGCGCCCCUUGGUAUUCCGGGGGGCAUGCCUGUUCGAGCGUCAUUUCACCACUCAAGCCUCGCUUGGUAUUGGGCGACGCGGUACGCCGCGCGCCCCAAAUCGACCGGCUGGGUCGACCGUCCCCUCAGCGUUGUGGCAACUAUUCGCUAAAGGGUGUCGCGGUCGGUCACGCCGUAAAACAAGACCUCAUUUCUAAGGUUGACCUCGGAUCAGGUAGGGAUACCCGCUGAACUUAAGCAUAUCAAUAAGCGGAGGA
RNAcentral lists this ribosomal RNA (939 nucleotides) under uncultured fungus. RNAcentral's name for it is "eukaryotic LSU rRNA". The stretch from base 1 to 241 matches the Rfam family "Eukaryotic small subunit ribosomal RNA", at positions 1593 to 1831 of the family's 1831-position model. Lineage: Eukaryota; Fungi. The record is from RNAcentral.